Marasmius sp. AFHP31 is the source of this 81-nucleotide non-coding RNA. Lineage: Eukaryota; Fungi; Basidiomycota; Agaricomycetes; Agaricales; Marasmiaceae. The record is from the annotation of a GenBank genome assembly.
GGGCACAUGGUGUAGGGGUUAUCACAUUCGCUUUGCAUAUUGUCUUGCGAAAGGUCUCCGGUUCAAUUCCGGAUGUGUCCA